Long non-coding RNA from Oryzias melastigma (Indian medaka), 883 nucleotides. RefSeq lists it as uncharacterized. The record is from RefSeq and is a predicted model, not a curated record. NCBI's taxonomy places the organism in Eukaryota, Metazoa, Chordata, Actinopteri, Beloniformes, Adrianichthyidae. The transcript is spliced from 3 exons.
GAUUGGUUUUCUACUGAAGUAAAUAUCAACUAUUUCGUCACCCACGGACAAUUCGAAUUCCAGCAUUGAUGUGAAGAGGGAAUGCAUCUUAAAAGCACUUUGUGUCUACUUUAAUGAAAACCCAAACGACAUGAUCAGAGAAUAUGUGGACGUUGAUCUUGCAACUGGACAAACCAUCGAGCAGAUGACCAUGGGAGUUUAUGCUGUCAGGCACGAAGGAGCAGACUCUACGGAGGCACCGGAAGAUGUGGGAAGGAUGCACUGUGCUGGAGGCUCUGAGUGAUGUGGCCAAAGGAUGUGCCCUCCUCCUAGGCUUAAUCUACAGUCUAAACCCGCAAUACCCAAAGGACCUAAAACACACCUUUGAAUUUUUUCAAAAAGUGUUGAUGGAGUUGGAUGGAAACAAGCUAUCAGCAAAAGUGCAAAUCCUCAAAAACAAAAUGCUUGAGUAAAGCAGCCCUCACUGAACUAGAGGAGACUGAAAUCUUUCCACAAAUUCUUCCGAGCCUUCUUUGUUUUUUUUAUCAGAAGGGACAGAAGAUGAACGACAACAUGUUCAAUUGAACUGUCACAAGAACUCUUGUGAGGCCUUCCUCUCUAUUCUUCGAUAUCUUUGGAACUUCACAGUUAAAAACUGCAUCUUAUUUUUGAUUUAAAUGGAAUUUCACCUUUUGUUGAAAGAAAAAAUUUGAACAAAUGAACAAAAUUUCAACUGCAGUUAAUUGUAUCUGCUGUUUAGAGUUGUGUUGCAAGCUUGUCAAGAUAAUCUGAGUGCCAUUAGUUGUAUCUAGUGAAUGUUUAAAUUGUGCCAUUGGGUUGCCUACUAAUGUUUUAAAGGCUUAAAACAUGUUCUUAGUUUUUUCCGAAUUAAAAAAAAAAUGUG